Molecule: ribosomal RNA, 254 nt
Filed under: uncultured bacterium
Lineage: Bacteria
Description: partial 16S ribosomal RNA
Rfam family: Bacterial small subunit ribosomal RNA
Source: RNAcentral
UACGUAGGGUGCAAACGUUGUUCGGAAUCACUGGGCAUAAAGGGCGCGUAGGCGGUCCAUUAAGUCGGAUGUGAAAUACUUCGGCCCAACCGGAGAACUGCAUUUGAUACUGAUGGGCUAGAGUGCAGGAGGGGAGAGUGGAAUUCCUGGUGGAGCGGUGAAAUGCGUAGAUAUCAGGAGGAACGCCGGUGGCGAAAGCGACUCUCUGGCCUGCAUCUGACGCUGAGUGCGCGAAAGCUAGGGGAGCAAACGGG